Tinamus guttatus (white-throated tinamou) is the source of this 357-nucleotide non-coding RNA. NCBI's taxonomy places the organism in Eukaryota, Metazoa, Chordata, Aves, Tinamiformes, Tinamidae. The record is from RefSeq and is a predicted model, not a curated record.
AAGCGGGAGCGCGGCAACUUCUACUACCAGCGGGCAGACUACGUGCUGGCCAUCAACUCCUACGACAUCGCCCUCAAGGUCGUCGGCUCCAGCUCCAAAGUGGAUUUUAGCACCGAGGAGGAGGCCGAGCUGCUGGACGUGAAGGUGAAAUGUCUCAACAACCUGGCGGCCUCCCAGCUCAAACUGGACCAUUACGAGGCGGCCCUCAAGUCCUGUAACCUGGUCCUGGAGCACCAGCCUGGCAACAUCAAGGCCCUUUUCCGAAAGGGCAAGGUCCUGGCCCAGCAGGGCGAGUACCGCGAGGCCAUCCCCAUCCUCAAGGCGGCUUUGAAGCUGGAGCCUUCCAACAAGGUAGGU